AGUUGUAACAUUGAGAAGAAUUGUUUGUAGUAAAGCAAGAAUAAGAAGAGAUGGCGCGCACAAAAAUUGUGGUUGGGGGAAAUUCUGAUGUUAUCUCACAACAAUCCAUCCAGCGAUUGCUUAGUGGUGUAAGAGGAUUUCAGAGCGUUGAGAGGGUUGAGGGGAGGACAGUUAUCGUAAUACACGAUGCAGGAUCCCAAGAUCGGAUAGUUAUUGAGCUCAGGAGAACAUAUAGAAAUGCUCAAGCUACAGAUACGGCAGAAUAGAGUGUGGAAGCGCCGUUUGGGACUCGAAAUUAUUCUCUGAUCAUCAUGGAAUUAUGAAUUAGUAUCUCACUUCAUAGACUGUUAUUGUUAUUCUGUGUGAAAUGUCCAGCUAAAAAUAAAAGCAUCCUGGUGAAAGUUUGUGUUUUGGGAUGCCUUUAUAUUUAUGAAAUAAUUUUCUGAUAUAAGAUAUCUUAUUUUAUAGUAUAUGUAAAUAGAAUACUAUAAUACAUGUGAAUAAUUUUAGUC
Long non-coding RNA from Cryptomeria japonica (Japanese cedar), 512 nucleotides. RefSeq lists it as uncharacterized. The transcript has 2 exons. NCBI's taxonomy places the organism in Eukaryota, Viridiplantae, Streptophyta, Pinopsida, Cupressales, Cupressaceae. The record is from RefSeq and is a predicted model, not a curated record.